AUCGCUUCUCGGCCUUUUGGCUAAGAUCAAGUGUAAGAUCUAGGAGACAUUACCAUAGAUUUUACAGAAUUUAAAAGGAUAUAGAAAGCAUAUUACAAAAAUCUUUUUUGAAAUAAAUUUGACAACUUCU
RNAcentral lists this small nuclear RNA (130 nucleotides) under Heterocephalus glaber (naked mole-rat). RNAcentral describes it as "U2 spliceosomal RNA". It matches the Rfam family "U2 spliceosomal RNA". Rfam says of the family: U2 is a small nuclear RNA (snRNA) component of the spliceosome (involved in pre-mRNA splicing). Complementary binding between U2 snRNA (in an area lying towards the 5' end but 3' to hairpin I) and the branchpoint sequence (BPS) of the intron results the bulging out of an unpaired adenosine, on the BPS, which initiates a nucleophilic attack at the intronic 5' splice site, thus starting the first of two transesterification reactions that mediate splicing. The record is from Rfam by way of RNAcentral. Lineage: Eukaryota; Metazoa; Chordata; Mammalia; Rodentia; Bathyergidae.